This 500-nucleotide ribosomal RNA is filed under the name uncultured bacterium. RNAcentral describes it as "partial 16S ribosomal RNA". It matches the Rfam family "Bacterial small subunit ribosomal RNA", at positions 28 to 507 of the family's 1533-position model. The record is from RNAcentral.
GACGAACGCUGGCGGCGUGCCUAAUACAUGCAAGUCGUGCGGACCUUGUUGAAAGCUUGCUUUUAAAAGGUUAGCGGCGGACGGGUGAGUAAUACGUGGGCAACCUGCCUGUAAGACUGGGAUAACGCCGGGAAACCGGGGCUAAUACCAGAUCGUUUUUUCCUCCGCAUGGAGGAAAAAGGAAAGGCGGCUUCGGCUGCCACUUACAGAUGGUCCCGCGGCGCAUUAGCUAGUUGGCGGGGUAAUGGACCACCAAGGCAACGAUGCGUAGCCGAGCUGAGAGGGUGGUCGGCCACAAUGGGGAUGGGACACGGCCCAAACUCCUAAGGGAGGCAGCAGUAGGGAAUCUUCCGCAAUGGACGAAAGUCUGGCGGAGCAAAGCCGCGUGAGGGAAGAAGGCCUUCGGGUCGUAAAACUCUGUUGCCGGGGAAGAACAAGUGCCGUUCGAACAGGGCGGCGCCUUGACGGUACCCGGACAGAAAGCCACGGCUAACUACGUG